Molecule: non-coding RNA, 3004 nt
Organism: Chrysemys picta bellii (western painted turtle)
Lineage: Eukaryota; Metazoa; Chordata; Testudines; Emydidae
Source: RefSeq, a predicted model, not a curated record
ACUGAAAAAUACUACCAUAUUUCUUUUGUUUUUUUUACUGUGCAAAUACUUGUAAUAAAAAAUAAAUAUAAAGUGAGCACUGUACACUUUGUAUUCUGUGUUGUAAUUGAAAUUAAUAUUGUCGCAGCCCUAUGCUCUGUCAUGGCGUCCGGAUGGCCAAUUGUCUGUCAGAAGGUCACAUCGGUGUCGUGUGCAGCACCUUGGUGCUGUUUGCAGCGCCUUGGUGUCGUGUGCAACACAUUGGGGCCGUGUGACCAUUCUCGAACCUUCUGCCUGGUCAAUUGUAGGUCACAUUGGUACCGUGUGCUACAAUUCCAGCGGGCCGUGUGCAUAAGCCUAGUGUGCCGUGUGCAGUGCCUGUUACGUAGGGGGCACCAGCUCGGAGCCUGGUUGGUGUCGGAGCGGGGAACCAAUUAGAUGCUAGCAUGUGCAAGGGUCUUCGAACAAAACUAUGUCUCUGGUCUAAAUCAGCAGGAGUGUCCGCGUGUUAGCUGAAAGGCCUGAUCACCCUUUCAGCCAGGAUCUCCUCCGGAUUUAGCUAGCUCGUGUCGUGUAAUUUCGGGUUCCAUCUCAUCAUGUCCUUGCUGUCUGUACUGCUGGUCAGCUGCGCCUGGAGUGUGCAGGAUCUUCAGCAGAAGAGGAAAUGGAGGGAAGGCGUAAAGACAGUCCUUGUCCUGGGGAGAAGAAGAGCAUUGCCAAGAGAGUGUCCAAUCCCCCCCACCCCAGAACAGUAUCAUGGACACUUCUUGUUCUGAUUCUCAGUGACCCAAGAAUGGCCCUGGGACCCUUCAAUGGAGAGAGGCAUCAGUCUUCUCAGUGAAGAGCUUCACGCCUCCAAAGGGGGUGUCCGCCACCAUGGUCUGCACCUCCUUUGGGAAUUCCGAGAGGUGGAGUCAUGACGCCCAUUUCAUCACCACUGCCAUGGAGAUGGUCCUGGUAGCUGUGAUGGUAGUGUCAAGGGCCGAUUACAAAGAUGUUUUUGCCACCAGUUGCCCUUCCUGGAUGAUGGCCUUGAAGGAAUCCUGGGAGCUCUCCGGCAGCUUAUCAAUAAAGUUGUGUAAUUUAUUGUAAUUUAUGUCAUACUUUGCCAUGAGCGCUUGGUAGUUGGCAACGUGAAAUUGCAAGGUAGCCAAGGAGUACACCUUUCUAUCAAAGAGAUCAAGGCGCUUCCAACCUCUGUCAUAGGGUGUUGUCCUAGAGUGGUGCUGUCGGCCACAAAGUUCACAGCGUCCACCACAAUGGAAUUGAGUGGUGGGUGGGUGAACAGGAACUCUGAUUCCUUUGUGAGGACAUAAUAUUUCUUGUCCACCUGCUUGUCCAGUGGGUUUUUUGUAAUUGUUGAUUUUGUUGGUUUUUUGUUUGUUUGUUUCUGGUUUUUUUAGGCACAGCCAUAUAAAAGCCAAAAAGAAAGCUAAAGGGUUUCUAAAAGCUAAAGAUUAACAACUGAAAAGAAGAGUUAAUGAUCUGCUAACGGACAGCUAAAGGUUCCAUUUCUAGUCAGAGCAGUUGAGAAGGCACUGAGGACAGCGCAACAGGAAGAGAGACAGCGCAUGUAUUGACCCAACUGACACUGUUACCAAAGUUCUCUGAUCGGCAGUGCAGGGACACAGACGUAUCUACAGUGGAGCACCCGCAGGGACACUACUCAAGAAGAAGUUAUUUUCCCCUUCUCAUAACACUCAAACCAGGGGUCAGCCAAUGAAAUUAACAGGCAGCAGGUUUAAAACAAACUAAAGGAAGUAUUUCUUCACACAGCGCACCGUCAACCUGUGGAACUUGUCAGGGGAGGUUGUGAAGGCCAAAAUAUAAUAGGCUUCAAAAACAAAUUCAGUAAGUUCAUGGAGGAUAGGUCUAGCAAUGGCUAUUAGCCAAGAUGGUCAAAGACCCAACCCCAUGCUCUGGCUGUCCCUAGCCUCUGACUGCCAGAAGCUUGGGCUGGAUGAGAGGGGAUGGAUCACUUGAUGAUUGCCUGUUCUGUUCACUCCCUCUGGGGCACCUGGCAUUGGCCACUGUCGGAAGACAGGACACUGGGCUAGAUGGAUCUUUGGUCUGACCCAGUAUGGUAAUUUGUAUGUCCUUAAGAUUCCAACAAAGGCAUGUUCUCUCCUUGUUGCCUUUGUGGGGCUGGCCCUUCCUAAUGUUAUUGGCCUGCAAUCUAGAGGCUCCUACCUCUGCCUCCCUGUGGUUAUGAGUAUAAUGCACUUAAGGCCAAUCAGAGCCUUCCAUAAAAACACCUGUCAGGGGAGCCAGGGACCUCUGGGAGCUUCACCUUGCCAAGUUUCUUUGGAAUCAUCCCAUUUGGGGGGGGCGGGGGACUGCCCCCAUGCAGCAGGCAGUGGUUGUGGAUAUACAAAAGAUCCAUGGGGAAAUCCUGUGGGUCCCAGGGCAUCUAGCGGUCUAGUGCCUCCAUGUGGCAGCACAGCCUAGCCCCCACUAGUAUCCAUGUUGUGCUUGGGCAAACCAUCCUCUUCAGUAGGGCUUGCACAGCACAGAGUGGGGGAGAGUCUGUGGAAAGCCCCUUGGGUUUACAGGUAGAUGAUGCCACAGAGCUUGGUUUAUUCCAGCCUCAUCCCCACACUGUAAGAAAAGAACAGGUAAUAUAUUUAAAUAAAUACAAGUAGAUAGGUGCCUUGACAUACCCAGAAUGUUUGGCAGCACAGCAGCUAAGUUCUCCCUGGAUGUACCUGAAAUAAUUGACAAGUGGCUAAAUAACUUGGGAUCCAACUUUGAUAAUGUGUAUUGUGGUGCAUUGAAAACUUGUUAAAAUUACAAGCUAUCACUUUAAGUUAUAGGGGGUUUCCUGGUUCUGCUGGUAGCCUAGGGAAAUCUGUAGGGAAGAAGCAAGUGAUUACAGCUGCAAAGAGUUGGCCUCUAGGGUGGGGUGAGUUGUGUUUCUCUGCUUUGGGGUGCAACCUGCUUUGUUUCUCUCUGUUUUUGUUUCUUGUGUGUUAGAGUUCUGGAUUCUAAGAAAUAAAGUUGUGUUAUGUUGCAACUUCCAGAAAGA